RNAcentral lists this long non-coding RNA (703 nucleotides) under Homo sapiens (human). RNAcentral's name for it is "non-protein coding lnc-L3MBTL3-1:1". Lineage: Eukaryota; Metazoa; Chordata; Mammalia; Primates; Hominidae. The record is from RNAcentral.
CAUAAAGAUUCUAGGCCCAAAUCUGAUUACUAUGUUAGACUCUUUCAGAUUCCUAUGGCCUACAUUUUAGAAACCUCUGAUUCACCAAUUGUGAACAUUGUCUCAUAAUACAUUUCAAUAUGUAAUAUACAAUCAAUACUUAAAUUGUCCCAAUUUCCCCCUUUUCUAGGAUCUAUGAUAGGUUAUGAAUUUGCAAGAAUAUUUCUGAUUUGGUAGGAAAAUAAAGAAUUCAGUUUUGGUAGGUUAAGUUUGAGAUGCCUGAGACACAUCCCAGUGGAACUGGCACGUAAAAUAAAUUAGGGAGGCAUCACCUGUUAGACAAUAGUUUUUAAAACCAUGAGACUGAAUAUGGUCAACUUGAGAGAGUGAGUACAGUGAGAAGGAAAGAGACAAAAGGUCUAAGUUUUCAUGAAAAUUAAGAUUUAGAGGUUAGGCAUAGGAAGAGGAGCUAACAACACUGAGAUUGCUACACAGAGCAUAAAAUAAAAAUCCUAAGUGUGUAGUCUAUCAAGUAUAUCAAAAAAAGGGAAUGGUCCAGUGUAUCUAAUUAAAUUUUUAAAAUCCCUUGGAUUUGAAAAAAACUAACGUCAUUGAUGCACUUGGCAAAUGCAGUUUAGUGUGCUGGUUGAAGCAGAGACAAGGUUGGAGUGGAUUGAGUAGGAAUGGAGGGUGAAAGCCUAGAGACUGUGCAGAUAAUCAUACA